This 445-nucleotide ribosomal RNA is filed under the name uncultured bacterium. RNAcentral describes it as "partial 16S ribosomal RNA". It matches the Rfam family "Bacterial small subunit ribosomal RNA", at positions 354 to 796 of the family's 1533-position model. The record is from RNAcentral.
GUGAGGAAUAUUGGUCAAUGGGCGAGAGCCUGAACCAGCCAAAUCGCGUGAAGGAUGAAGGUAUUAUGUAUUGUAAACUUCUUUUAUCGGGGAAUAAAGUGCGGGACGUGUCCCGUUUUGUAUGUACCCGAAGAAUAAGGAUCGGCUAACUCCGUGCCAGCAGCCGCGGUAAUACGGAGGAUCCAAGCGUUAUCCGGAUUUAUUGGGUUUAAAGGGUGCGUAGGCGGACUGUCAAGUCAGCGGUGAAAGUCCAUGGCUAAACCAUGGAAUUGCCGUUGAAACUGUCGGUCUUGAGUGUAGAUGAGGUAGGCGGAAUUCGUAGUGUAGCGGUGAAAUGCUUAGAUAUUACGAAGAACUCCAAUUGCGUAGGCAGCUUACCAGGCUACAACUGACGCUGAGGCACGAAGGUGCGGGGAUCAAACAGGAUUAGAUACCCGUGUAGUCC